GCACAAAAUGUGCCUAUCACCCACGCACUGCGUCGCUACUAAGGCAUGUAACCAUAGACAGUUUGUUGGCGCCAUCACUAUGAGAUCACCAGGUCCGGGCAUGGUGUGUAUAACGAAAUGUGGGUCAGAUCUCUGAGUAUUUAAACCGAAUAGGGUACUGCCCAUUGACCCCUACCAUAGAAAGUACAUGAGCCCCCUGGAGACUACCACUCCAAUUUCAGUUUAUAUUGGGAGGGUAUGCCGCAGCACAUUAAGGGUAAUGUGUGUGUAUCCUAUUAUUUCUU
Non-coding RNA from Pelobates cultripes (western spadefoot toad), 284 nucleotides. NCBI's taxonomy places the organism in Eukaryota, Metazoa, Chordata, Amphibia, Anura, Pelobatidae. The record is from the annotation of a GenBank genome assembly.